CCUACGGGUGGCUGCAGUGGGGAAUAUUGCACAAUGGGCGCAAGCCUGAUGCAGCCAUGCCGCGUGUAUGAAGAAGGCCUUCGGGUUGUAAAGUACUUUCAGCGGGGAGGAAGGGAGUAAAGUUAAUACCUUUGCUCAUUGACGUUACCCGCAGAAGAAGCACCGGCUAACUCCGUGCCAGCAGCCGCGGUAAUACGGAGGGUGCAAGCGUUAAUCGGAAUUACUGGGCGUAAAGCGCACGCAGGCGGUUUGUUAAGUCAGAUGUGAAAUCCCCGGGCUCAACCUGGGAACUGCAUCUGAUACUGGCAAGCUUGAGUCUCGUAGAGGGGGGUAGAAUUCCAGGUGUAGCGGUGAAAUGCGUAGAGAUCUGGAGGAAUACCGGUGGCGAAGGCGGCCCCCUGGACGAAGACUGACGCUCAGGUGCGAAAGCGUGGGGAGCAAACAGGAUUAGAUACCCAUGUAGUC
This 465-nucleotide ribosomal RNA is filed under the name uncultured bacterium. RNAcentral's name for it is "bacterial SSU rRNA". It matches the Rfam family "Bacterial small subunit ribosomal RNA", at positions 338 to 795 of the family's 1533-position model. The record is from RNAcentral.